UGAAGACCAAGUAGAUAGUGAUGCAAAUUUGUUUGAUCCAAGUUUGGAUGGUUCAGAUGCCAUGGGAUUCGGUCCUCUUAUCCCAACAGAGAGCGAGAGGUCUUUAAUGGAGAGGGUGAGGCAAGAAUUGAAGCAUGAAUUAAAGCAGGUCAAAGAAUUACCUAUUUAUUGGAUUGACCGAGAAGCAUAUAUCUUGGAAGAUUUUCAAAGAUGUGCUCUACUCUCUCUGUUUUGUAGGGUUACAAAGAGAAAAUUGCUG
Molecule: unclassified non-coding RNA, 259 nt
Filed under: Hevea brasiliensis (rubber tree)
Lineage: Eukaryota; Viridiplantae; Streptophyta; Magnoliopsida; Malpighiales; Euphorbiaceae
Source: RNAcentral